This 742-nucleotide long non-coding RNA is filed under the name Homo sapiens (human). RNAcentral describes it as "novel transcript". The record is from RNAcentral. Lineage: Eukaryota; Metazoa; Chordata; Mammalia; Primates; Hominidae.
ACACCUGCUGGUCUCACCGCUAGGGCCUGGGCAUCACAGGCAGGGGGAAUGGGGAGGGGACGGUAGCGUCAGCCUACACCCACACGCAGUUUCCUGAUAAAAGGUCCUUUGGAAACUUUGAUUCUCUUCUCACCAAGUUGAACGGAGAUGUGUUCCCAUAGUAAGAGUGAGGCCCCUGCAUUUGCUGCCCUCGGUUUUCCCAACUAACACCAGGGCCUCCCCCCUGUACCCCAUUCAUAUGCCUCAGAAGCUGACAAUGACUGUUGGGCUUUUCCAAUGAAUACCAGAACACCAUUUCCUGCAGCCUGAAAAGAAGACAGUAUAAUUGUUUGGCAGCAAGAGGUGAGCAUGGGCCAAGCAGGAAACUAGAGAUAUGGUGACGGUAGUGGUCCCAGGGAGGAGCUUUAACCUGAGCACCACCCACAGAAGGCAGACCACCCUCCCAGCCGCAGUGCAAAUGAAUGUUGGCCCCCACCCAGGUCCCCAAGUGCUUUCCCAGUCACGCCCCAGCUGCCAGGUUUUUUUCUCCAGGCCUACUACAGAUGGGUUACCCUGACUCCACCCCCAACACCCUCCAAUGAUUAGAACCACUGACUCCUCCCUCCCAUGCCUGCCUCCAUGGCAGGCCCCUGCAGAAACCAAACAUAGUCACCUUAGACUCUGGCAUACUGAGACCAGGGCUUGAUCCUGGCCCCCUUGCCUCCCUGGCAAUUUAUCAUUUAAUAAAAAUAUUGUUAAAAAA